Molecule: microRNA precursor, 64 nt
Filed under: Myotis davidii
Lineage: Eukaryota; Metazoa; Chordata; Mammalia; Chiroptera; Vespertilionidae
Description: mir-9242 microRNA precursor family
Rfam family: mir-9242 microRNA precursor family
Source: Rfam by way of RNAcentral
GGCCUCCCUCUGUGGGGUGAUCGAUUGUGGAGCUCCCUCAUCGAUCGCCCCACAGAGGUUGUCC